AGACUCCAGGGGAGAGAGAGAAACUCCCUUCUCUUUCCGGAAUGUGCCAUAGGAUAUUUAACCUUCACCUGAACAGACAGACGGGAUCUGGGUUUAACAUCUCAUCCGAAUGACUUGGUUCAUUUGAAAAUACAGCUAGCGAGGAAUGAAAGUGAGAAGACUGGUUUCACAUGUCACCAGAGGUGGGAAAACCUAUAGCUGAAACCGAGAGAGCAAUCACCAGGCAAGAAAGCCGAGUUUUAACUACUUUCGCUCUGUGGGAUUUUUCUGUGUGCCUCUAAAUUUUACCUUAACAUUUUUUCGGUCUUGGUGGUGGGGAGGGGGAGGAGAGCCACAGGGUUCGCUAUUUCUCGGAACGCAGUGUCUUCGUAACCAGUGAAUGGGCUUUGGAACAAACCUCGCAAUCUCUGCUCAGUUUUGUUCUUCAAAGAGGAGUACUUGGCAACUGCUUAUUGGCUGCUCCUUGUAAGUGCCGUCACAAGUGUGUGUGUGUGUGUGUGUGUGUGAGCGCGCUCUGCAUUUGGCAAACAAGCAACUGAGGCUGAGAUCCCAUUUGUUAUAGCGUCAGCCACAGUACUAACAUGGGUCGAGAUUCUUAAAGUCCCCCCCACCCCCUUUCGAUUAAUCCCUUGAUUUGUUUGAAAUCUUAUCCGUGGGAUUUAAAUCAUGGAGCAAGUCAGUCCCUGUUUAUAAUGUUAACCCAGCAGCGACUGCCAAAAGGAGAGUAAAAUAAGCUUCGGUUCUCUUGCACCAAACUUUGUUCUGAAGAGAACAGGGAGAUCUGUUGACCGUCAACAAGCUUGGGUUUUCUCCACGUUGUGUACAUGCAGCGAAAAAUACUUUCCUUGUAUUCUGUUCUGAAACUUGGUCGGUUUUGUUAAGCUGUUGAACGAACAUUGCGAAAAGCCUGGGCAGAGACACAAGUGUGUCACCUUGUGGUGGUUUGGCAUAGCGGCAGAUUUUCACACUUGACCGCAGUGGAUGCAUUGAAAGAGUUGUAAUAGUUUCAUCAGGUUUAUUCAUUGAUUUGGACUUGCAUCUCGUGUGGUUCACCUUCAUCUCUGCACAUUUGGCAACGGUACAAGAAAAGGCUCUUCUUUAGCAGGACCUCUCAAUGUCCUUCACAGGCUAUAGUGUAAGGUCGAGACUGUGUAUUGGGAAUGCUGGAAAGCAUGUAUUAUUUUAAAAAAACACACACAGUUGAGGCUUUUGACCUCAUGCAGGUUAUUGAAACGUUCUAGAUUACCUGAGCACAUUUGCAACUGAUUUACUAGGUUAUUUUCUAUAAUGUGUGAUUAAAACAGUGGGAAUUUGGGUUGCCAUGAAGCCAAUCUAUCCUCAUCUUCUUUCGUGGUGAUAUUGUUGUCGAUAGUUGACCCAGCUCCAAGUGUUGGCCCUUCACCUCCUUCAGAAUAAUCAAUGAAAUGGUGAUUGACAUUGCGUAUUUGAUGAUAAUAAAGCUUUACAUGUGAUUCAGUGCCUUAACGUGUCAGCAGGAUGUCUCAAAGAGCUGUCAGAUAUGUCGGUGCUGCAAGGGGUAACCCACUAGGUCACAGGGAGGCCACACAGAUAGUUGACCAGAUGGAUCAUAUCACAAUAAUAAUAAUCCUUGCAUUUGAUAUAGCGCCUUAUCACAUCUUCGAGACGUCUCAAAGCACUUCACAGAAAACACUGUAAACUGAAUCGACUGUAUAUUUCCUGGGCGAACACGGCAGCCAAUUAAUUGCACACAGCAGUGUCCCAUAAAUAGUCGUAGAUUGAGUGACCAUAUUUUUUUAAUUGAUUAUCAAUGGGCGAAGCAUGCAGUCAGGAGUGAGAGGAACGAAGAAAAGAUGAGCUACAUGUAGCCUUGGGACACACUCAUGCAAAGCCGACCAGAGGAAUGUGUGCUAGUUAAUAA
This is a long non-coding RNA of Callorhinchus milii (elephant shark), 1900 nucleotides long. RefSeq lists it as uncharacterized. The transcript has 2 exons. NCBI's taxonomy places the organism in Eukaryota, Metazoa, Chordata, Chondrichthyes, Chimaeriformes, Callorhinchidae. The record is from RefSeq and is a predicted model, not a curated record.